Molecule: ribosomal RNA, 459 nt
Filed under: uncultured bacterium
Lineage: Bacteria
Description: partial 16S ribosomal RNA
Rfam family: Bacterial small subunit ribosomal RNA
Source: RNAcentral
CCUACGGGAGGCAGCAGUGAGGAAUAUUGGUCAAUGGCCGGAAGGCUGAACCAGCCAAGUCGCGUGAGGGACGACUGCCCUAUGGGUUGUAAACCUCUUUUAUAAGGGAAGAAUAAAUGCUACGUGUAGCAUUAUGCCUGUACCUUAUGAAUAAGCAUCGGCUAACUCCGUGCCAGCAGCCGCGGUAAUACGGAGGAUGCGAGCGUUAUCCGGAUUUAUUGGGUUUAAAGGGUGCGUAGGCGGUUUUUUAAGUUAGUGGUUAAACGUCGGGGCUUCACCUUGAUUUGCCAUUAAUACUGUAAGACUCGAGUUCAGACGAGGUAGGCGGAAUAAGUUAAGUAGCGGUGAAAUGCUUAGAUAUAACUUAGAACUCCGAUAGCGAAGGCAGCUUACCGGACUGCGACUGACGCUGAAGCACGAGAGCGUGGGUAGCGAACAGGAUUAGAUACCCUAGUAGUC